RNAcentral lists this ribosomal RNA (293 nucleotides) under uncultured bacterium. RNAcentral describes it as "partial 16S ribosomal RNA". It matches the Rfam family "Bacterial small subunit ribosomal RNA", at positions 775 to 1067 of the family's 1533-position model. The record is from RNAcentral.
GGAUUAGAUACCCUGGUAGUCCACGCCGUAAACGAUGUCUACUAGCCGUUGGGAGACUUGAUUUCUUAGUGGCGCAGCUAACGCAAUAAGUAGACCGCCUGGGGAGUACGGCCGCAAGGUUAAAACUCAAAUGAAUUGACGGGGGCCCGCACAAGCGGUGGAGCAUGUGGUUUAAUUCGAUGCAACGCGAAGAACCUUACCAGGUCUUGACAUCCUCGGAACUUGGCAGAGAUGCCUUGGUGCCUUCGGGAACCGAGAGACAGGUGCUGCAUGGCUGUCGUCAGCUCGUGCCG